RNAcentral lists this long non-coding RNA (355 nucleotides) under Androctonus crassicauda. Lineage: Eukaryota; Metazoa; Arthropoda; Arachnida; Scorpiones; Buthidae. The record is from RNAcentral.
UGAAUUAUAUUUUUUCAGUUAUGGAUGGAUAUAUAUAUAUAUGUGUGUGUGUGUGUGUGUGUGUGUGACACUGCCAAGAUGGAAAAGGCGUGAUGAUUUUCAUUUGAAAGCACUAAACAAAAUCAGUUUGAAUCACAUAUAUUCAAUACUCAAUUAUAAUUACAAAAAUAACAGUCACAUAGAGAAAAGAACGCUUUCUCCAUAUUCUCUGGAGAGUAAAAAACAGAAAAAGCGUGCGCUCAACGGUUUUCUUUUCGACAACUGUGUUGCCAUUUACAUCAAUUUUUAUUAUAAAUAACAUUUAAUAUUUUUAUAAAUAUUUUAAUGUUUCAUAUAUAUACAGCAGAGAACUAUG